Long non-coding RNA from Tupaia belangeri chinensis (Chinese tree shrew), 767 nucleotides. RefSeq lists it as uncharacterized. NCBI's taxonomy places the organism in Eukaryota, Metazoa, Chordata, Mammalia, Scandentia, Tupaiidae. The record is from RefSeq and is a predicted model, not a curated record. The transcript has 2 exons.
AAGAGACAUCAAGGGAAUGUUUAAGGGUUCUUCAAAAAGUUCAUGGAAAGCUAAGAAAAAGCAAUGCAUAGAUUUCUAUAUUUUUUUGCACAAAAAUAAACUCAUACUUUAAUUCCAUUUCUCUGUGACCCCUUCAAACUCCCCCAGUAGUAUUCCUAGGUUCCUUAGAUGAGGAAAACCAACAUUACAGACACUAAGAUACAGGAAACUCCAAGGACUCCUCCCAGACGUUGUUCUCUUGCUUCCCUUUUCUCCAAAAUCCUCUCAUGAUCACUUGUUGUCCCAUCCCCAUCCACCACAGAACCCAGAACAUGAAAUUCAAAAGAUAAUAGAAUUUAUGGGUAAGAAACUAGAUAAAGAGACUGUCCACAGGAUCGUUCAGCACACUUCAUUUGAAAGCAUGAAUGAAAACCCAUUAACCAACUUGACCACGCUGCCUUCUGCCAUCAUGGACCAUUCCAUCUCCCCAUUCAUGAGGAAGGGAACUGUGGGAGACUGGAAGAAUUACUUCACAGUGGCACAGAAUGAGAGAUUUGAUGCAGACUAUCAGAGGAAAAUGGCCAACACCUCUCUCACCUUCCACACUGAGCUCUUGAGAGAAGAAGGCAAAAUCUAGGCAACUCAGAGGUGACCUUGUUGUUUCUUCAUGUAUUUUCCCUUUGAAAUUGCUUUCUGAGCUUGCUUAGAUUGUUCAUGAAAGCACAAGAAAUUCUGUACUUUUUCCUUUCUCAUGCACCUGGGAAAUAAAAUCAUUCAGUUGGCUAACA